This 1765-nucleotide unclassified non-coding RNA is filed under the name uncultured fungus. RNAcentral describes it as "sequence contains 18S rRNA gene, ITS1, 5.8S rRNA gene, ITS2, 28S rRNA gene". The stretch from base 668 to 1765 matches the Rfam family "Eukaryotic large subunit ribosomal RNA", at positions 1 to 961 of the family's 3401-position model. The record is from RNAcentral. Lineage: Eukaryota; Fungi.
GGAAGGAUCAUUACUAAGCUAAAAAAGCAAAUUGAAAAAAAAAAUUAUUUGAUUGGUGGUUGGUUUGUUGGUUGGUUGAUUAGUUUAUCUAAUCAAAAAAAUUAUCUCUGUGCCUUAAAUGUUUGGUAAAGAAAUUUACCAAAUAAAAAACUCAGUGCUGUUCCAAAAUACAACUCUAGGGGGUGGAUGAUUUGGUUCUUGUCUCGAUGAAGAACGCAGCGAAAUGUGAUAAGUGAGAUGAAAUGCAUCAGCAUGAAUCUCAAUUUUUGAACGCAAUCGGCGCUCUCUAUCCUUAUUAAGGAUAGUAGGGCAUGUUUAAUUGAGACCCUUUUUUAAACACUAUCCAAAAAAUAAAUUUAUUUAUUUCUGGGAUGUUGGGGAUUGAAAUUUGAUCAUUCCCUUAAAUGAUAUCAAUUACUUUUUUUUAGAAAAAACCAUAUCCUUUUUUUUUCAUAAGGAAAAUUUUAAGGGGGAUUUUUUUCCUUUUUUUUACUUUCCUUUUGAGAAAAGAGUAAAAAGUUUUUUUUAAUAUAUGAAAAGUUUUUGAAAUCAUUCUGAAAAUUGGUUUUUAAUAAGACCUUUUUCAGAAAAAAUAAUAGGGGCGGGGAGAAAAAAAAGAUUUUUUUCUUUUUUUUAAACCCCCCUUUUUAUUUUUCUUUUCUUAAUAAGGGCUCAAUUUAAACAUGAAAACCUCCUCAACUUAAGCAUAUUAUUAGGGAGAGGAAAAGAAAUCAACUGAGAUUCCCUUAGUAACUGCGAGUGAAGAGGGAAUAGCUCAUCCCGAAUCUGUUGGUAUUCAUUUAUCAACCGAGGUGUGGGGUACGGAGUACUCUUUCUUCUAACAAAUUGACCGAAUUCCCUUGAAAGGGAAACCAUAGAAGGUGACAGUCCUGUAGGUCGAUUUUUGUUGGGAUUUAAAGAGUAUUUCUUUGAGUAGGAUUGUUUGGGAGUACAAUCCGAAUAUGGGUGAUACGUUUCAUCUAAAGCUAAAUACGAGGCAAGAAACCGAUAGAAUACAAGUACCGUGAGGGAAAAUUGAAAAGUACUCUGAAAAGAGAGUAAAAAGGACCUGAAACCUUCUAGAGGAAUGCGGUUAGUCGUGAUCUAAAUAAGCUGUUUUUAGGAUCUGGAGAUCCUUUUUUUAAAUAAGUAGAAUAAGGGAGAUUUUUUUAAAAAAGUCCCCUGUUUUAUUUUUUUUAGGAAAAGUGGUUUUCAUAUUCCUAGGGACAGCGAAAGGGGGGGUAUUAGGAUAUGGUGUUUUAGGUUUUUGAUUAGAGGUAACCAUCAUUGGUGGUGAAUAUUUUCGGAAUUCUAAACAUCUGUGUCCUAAUUUUAGUGAAUCAAAAGAUUCAAUAGUUUAAUUUUGUUCCUUUCAAAAAAAAGGAAUAGUUAAACAUAUCUCUCUCUUUCACCAUGAAAGAUCAGGCUAACUGUCCCGUCUUGAAACACGGGCCAAGGAGUCUAUUUGAUGUGCGAGUGUUUGGAGUUUUGAUUCAACUCUAAUCGCGAAAGGAAACUUAUUUUUUAUGAAUUGGAUCCUGUUUUUUUAAUAAGAUAGGUGCACAAUUACCCUAAUCCUAUUUCGUAUAGAAUUUAGGGUGGAGCAUAUCAAAUAGAACCCGAAAGAUGGCGAACUAUGCCUUUGCAGAAUAAAGCCGGAAGAAAUUCUGGUGGAGGUUCGUAGCGAUAUUGACGUGCAAAUCAUUCGUCCGACAUGGGUAUAGCGGCGAAAGACUAAUCGAGCCAUCUAGUAGCUGGUUCCUUC